RNAcentral lists this ribosomal RNA (274 nucleotides) under uncultured bacterium. RNAcentral describes it as "partial 16S ribosomal RNA". It matches the Rfam family "Bacterial small subunit ribosomal RNA", at positions 523 to 796 of the family's 1533-position model. The record is from RNAcentral.
AGACGGAGGUGGCAAACGUUGCUCGGAAUCACUGGGCUUAAAGGGCGUGUAGGCGGUCGAUUUAGUCGGAUGUGAAAUCCCUCGGCUCAACCGAGGAACUGCAUUCGAUACUGGUUGGCUAGAGUGCGGGAGGGGUAAGUGGAACUCCAGGUGUAGCGGUGAAAUGCGUAGAUAUCUGGAGGAACGCCGGUGGCGAAAGCGACUUAAUGGCCCGCAACUGACGCUGAGGCGCGAAAGCUAGGGGAGCGAACGGGAUUAGAUACCCCGGUAGUCC